UACGAAGGGUGCAAACGUUGCUCGGAAUUAUUGGGCGUAAGCGCACGGAGGCGGCUUGGCAAGUCGGAUGUGAAAUCCCUCGGCUUAACCGGGGAACUGCGUCUGAUACUGGAUGGCUUGAGGUUGGGAGAGGGAUGCGGAAUUCCAGGUGUAGCGGUGAAAUGCGUAGAUAUCUGGAGGAACACCGGUGGCGAAGGCGGCAUCCUGGACCAAUUCUCACGCUGAGGAGCGAAAGCCAGGGGAGCAAACGGG
This 252-nucleotide ribosomal RNA is filed under the name uncultured bacterium. RNAcentral describes it as "partial 16S ribosomal RNA". It matches the Rfam family "Bacterial small subunit ribosomal RNA", at positions 524 to 776 of the family's 1533-position model. The record is from RNAcentral.